GACGAACGCUAGCGGCAGGCCUAAUACAUGCAAGUCGAACGAGAAAGCAUCUUCGGGUGUGAGUACAGUGGCGAAAGGGUGAGUAACACGUACGCAAUCUGCCCCAUUCUAGGAAAUACCUUUUGGAAACAGAAGACAAUGUCCUAUAUAAUUCAAUGAGCGCAUGCUCUAAGAAUGAAAGUUCAGGCGGAAUGGGAUGAGCGUGCGUCCUAUUAGCUAGUUGGUGAGGUAAUGGCUCACCAAGGCAAUAAUGGGUAGGGGUUCUGAGAGGAAGGUCCCCCACACUGACACUGAGAUACGGGUCAGACUCCUACGGGAGGCAGCAGUAGGGAAUAUUGGUCAAUGGACGCAAGUCUGAACCAGCCAUGCCGUGUGCAGGACGAAGCUUUUAGGAGUGUAAACUGCUUUUUUAUGGAACAAAUGCCCUUGCGAGGGGAGCUGAGGGUACCAUAAGAAUAAGUACCGGCAAACUACGUGCCAGCAGCCGACGG
Molecule: ribosomal RNA, 491 nt
Filed under: uncultured bacterium
Lineage: Bacteria
Description: bacterial SSU rRNA
Rfam family: Bacterial small subunit ribosomal RNA
Source: RNAcentral